UCCCCGUCGCUCUCGGCCCCCACUGCGUAUUGAAGCCCUUCGGGUGGGAAGAGGGGACUGGCGUAAUUUAAGAAGAAACGACUUGACUAACCCUGUCCCCAGCCAGUGUAACGUGGCCCGUGGUUGUGCUCAGUAAGGGCAGCCGGACUGGACCAUUCCCUCCAGGAACACCAGGCACAUGAUAUAGGUGCAUCAGGCACUAGAGGUGUAGUCGUAGCACGUGCUGGAGUGUAACGUUGCAUCAGAGUGGGAUAGAAACAUAGACUCGUUUAGGUUGGAAAAGACCUCUAAGAUCAUCAAGUCCAACCAUUAACCCAGGACUGCCAAGUCCACCACUAAACCUGAAGAUGUCUAGUAAAAGCUGAAAGGUUUGAAAUGCCAGUUGACAUGAAAAUUUUAGCUGUUUCAUUUGUGCUUCUUGUGUCUUCCUAAGCUAGGUUUGUUCAUGCUUAAACAGAGGUUUGGAUUAACUGGAUUAACAGGAACCACCUAUGUGUCACUGUUUGGGAUAAAUACAGUGGAUUUCUUUUUUGGGGGCUGCAGAAAAAAAUGGCAUAUUGGCCCUUCCAGCCACAUGUGGGAGAGAGUUGUGGAUUUCAGAGCAGAAAGCCUUUCUGUCAAUGAGCUCCUGAAAUAGGGAGGGUGCUCUUUGCUAUCUGGCAUCAAACAUGUUUUGAAAGUGUUGUUUGCUCAUUGUUAUUGGUGCCAGCCCAGAUCUCUGUUUGCCAGUGCUGGUGGUUUGGCAUCACUGAUCUAGAGUGAGAUCAAACAAGGGGGAAUAUAGAGCCAGAGCCUCGGUUUAUUUACCCUAGUGUGAGUGAAUGGAGAGAUGCCAAUGUUAAAUGUAGUUCUUCUUCUGAAGGUGAAGUCCAGGGUUAGAAGUCAGUUACUUUUGGAUUUCCUUCAUGGCUGAAAUUUGUUAACAAAACUUGAUUACUGCCGUGUGCUGCCAACGGCAAAUGACCUUCAUCCCAGCAUUUUUCCACGGUGAGCUUUGCCUGGAAUUGGAGAAAAAGAUAAACUGAAAUGAACAGCUCACUGUGACUGUGCAGCUUGAGUCACUUGAACCACGUCAGAUGACAAACUAUUCUUAGUGGUCCUUCCGUGCAGUCAACUUAUCUUCCAACGAGGAAAGAAACCCUUUUUCUCAGGUGCAUGCUUCACCUUUCACCAGGAGAUUUGCUUGGCCUCUUUUGCUCCUCUGAUGCACUUGUUCCCUCAUGUUUUUCAUGUAUUCUCUGUUCCAGUAACAGUGCUGGAUCUCACAGAAUGAAGACAGUUAGGCAAACAAGCUCCUAAGGGAAUGAGGGGGAUUACUAAAGAGAAGGAAUUUGACACGAUUGAAAAUAACAGAUGAAAAUGGAAGGAUUCCCUGCAGUCGAUCAGUUCUGCCCUGCACAGCAGGCAUCACACAGUAAGAAUUACUACAGAGAUUUCAAGGAAGAUUUGUACAAAGUAGAGGAAAUACAAUGAGGAAAUAUAAAACCUCCACUGUGUAAGUCAACUUUUAUUUGUUUGUGUUUUUGCAAAACUGAACUAUGAAUUUAUCUUCAGUGUCUUGAGUGAACUCCACACUUCAUGCUUCUGUAUCCAACCAACUCAAAAUAACCAAAUAACUUCAGAAAAGGAAAAAAUAAGUCAACCAAGAAACAACAACUCUCUUUGGUUUGACUGAUCUGAGCCUUUUA
Neopelma chrysocephalum (saffron-crested tyrant-manakin) is the source of this 1688-nucleotide long non-coding RNA. RefSeq lists it as uncharacterized. Lineage: Eukaryota; Metazoa; Chordata; Aves; Passeriformes; Pipridae. The transcript is spliced from 4 exons. The record is from RefSeq and is a predicted model, not a curated record.